RNAcentral lists this ribosomal RNA (1203 nucleotides) under Fictibacillus gelatini. RNAcentral's name for it is "bacterial SSU rRNA". It matches the Rfam family "Bacterial small subunit ribosomal RNA", at positions 143 to 1331 of the family's 1533-position model. Lineage: Bacteria; Bacillati; Bacillota; Bacilli; Caryophanales; Fictibacillaceae. The record is from RNAcentral.
AUAACACCGAGAAAUCGGUGCUAAUACCGAAUAAUAGAGCGGAGCGCAUGCUCCGCGCUUGAAAGUCGGCUUUGAGCUGACACUAUGAGAUGGGCCCGCGGCGCAUUAGCUAGUAGGUGAGGUAACGGCUCACCUAGGCGACGAUGCGUAGCCGACCUGAGAGGGUGAUCGGCCACACUGGGACUGAGACACGGCCCAGACUCCUACGGGAGGCAGCAGUAGGGAAUCUUCGGCAAUGGACGAAAGUCUGACCGAGCAACGCCGCGUGAGUGAUGAAGGUUUUCGGAUCGUAAAACUCUGUUGUCAGGGAAGAACAAGUACGAGAGUAACUGCUCGUACCUUGACGGUACCUGACCAGAAAGCCACGGCUAACUACGUGCCAGCAGCCGCGGUAAUACGUAGGUGGCAAGCGUUGUCCGGAAUUAUUGGGCGUAAAGCGCGCGCAGGCGGUUCUUUAAGUCUGAUGUGAAAGCCCACGGCUCAACCGUGGAGGGUCAUUGGAAACUGGGGAACUUGAGUGCAGGAGAGAAAAGUGGAAUUCCACGUGUAGCGGUGAAAUGCGUAGAGAUGUGGAGGAACACCAGUGGCGAAGGCGGCUUUUUGGCCUGUAACUGACGCUGAGGCGCGAAAGCGUGGGGAGCAAACAGGAUUAGAUACCCUGGUAGUCCACGCCGUAAACGAUGAGUGCUAGGUGUUGGGGGGUUCCACCCUCAGUGCUGACGUUAACACAUUAAGCACUCCGCCUGGGGAGUACGACCGCAAGGUUGAAACUCAAAGGAAUUGACGGGGGCCCGCACAAGCAGUGGAGCAUGUGGUUUAAUUCGAAGCAACGCGAAGAACCUUACCAGGUCUUGACAUCCUCUGACCACUUGAGAGAUCAAGCUUUCCCCUUCGGGGGACAGAGUGACAGGUGGUGCAUGGUUGUCGUCAGCUCGUGUCGUGAGAUGUUGGGUUAAGUCCCGCAACGAGCGCAACCCUUGACCUUAGUUGCCAGCAUUCAGUUGGGCACUCUAAGGUGACUGCCGGUGACAAACCGGAGGAAGGUGGGGAUGACGUCAAAUCAUCAUGCCCCUUAUGACCUGGGCUACACACGUGCUACAAUGGAUGGUACAAAGGGCUGCGAAACCGCAAGGUGGAGCCAAUCCCAAAAAGCCAUUCUCAGUUCGGAUUGUAGGCUGCAACUCGCCUACAUGAAGCCCGGAA